GCAGUCGAACGAUGAAGCCCUUCGGGGUGGAUUAGUGGCGAACGGGUGAGUAACACGUGGGUAAUCUGCCCUGUACUCUGGGAUAAGCCUUGGAAACGAGGUCUAAUACCGGAUAUUACCUUCUUCCGCAUGGGAGUUGGUUGAAAGUUCCGGCGGUACAGGAUGAACCCGCGGCCUAUCAGCUUGUUGGUGGGGUAAUGGCCUACCAAGGCGACGACGGGUAGCCGGCCUGAGAGGGCGACCGGCCACACUGGGACUGAGACACGGCCCAGACUCCUACGGGAGGCAGCAGUGGGGAAUAUUGCACAAUGGGCGAAAGCCUGAUGCAGCGACGCCGCGUGAGGGAUGACGGCCUUCGGGUUGUAAACCUCUUUCGACAGGGACGAAGCGAAAGUGACGGUACCUGUAGAAGAAGCACCGGCUAACUACGUGCCAGCAGCCGCGGUAAUACGUAGGGUGCGAGCGUUGUCCGGAAUUAUUGGGCGUAAAGAGCUCGUAGGCGGUUUGUCGCGUCGACUGUGAAAACCUGGGGCUUAACUCUGGGCUUGCAGUCGAUACGGGCAGACUUGAGUUCGGUAGGGGAGACUGGAAUUCCUGGUGUAGCGGUGAAAUGCGCAGAUAUCAGGAGGAACACCGGUGGCGAAGGCGGGUCUCUGGGCCGAUACUGACGCUGAGGAGCGAAAGCGUGGGGAGCGAACAGGAUUAGAUACCCUGGUAGUCCACGCUGUAAACGUUGGGCGCUAGGUGUGGGGGACAUUCAUGUUUUCCGUGCCGUAGCUAA
This 781-nucleotide ribosomal RNA is filed under the name Actinophytocola gilvus. Its description in RNAcentral is "bacterial SSU rRNA". It matches the Rfam family "Bacterial small subunit ribosomal RNA", at positions 57 to 855 of the family's 1533-position model. The record is from RNAcentral. Lineage: Bacteria; Bacillati; Actinomycetota; Actinomycetes; Pseudonocardiales; Pseudonocardiaceae.